GGAGUAAAGUUAAUACCUUUACUCAUUGACGUUACCCGCAGAAGAAGCACCGGCUAACUCCGUGCCAGCAGCCGCGGUAAUACGGAGGGUGCAAGCGUUAAUCGGAAUUACUGGGCGUAAAGCGCACGCAGGCGGUUUGUUAAGUCAGAUGUGAAAUCCCCGGGCUCAACCUGGGAACUGCAUCUGAUACUGGCAAGCUUGAGUCUCGUAGAGGGGGGUAGAAUUCCAGGUGUAGCGGUGAAAUGCGUAGAGAUCUGGAGGAAUACCGGUGGCGAAGGCGGCCCCC
RNAcentral lists this ribosomal RNA (286 nucleotides) under Shigella sonnei. Its description in RNAcentral is "partial 16S ribosomal RNA". It matches the Rfam family "Bacterial small subunit ribosomal RNA", at positions 446 to 729 of the family's 1533-position model. Lineage: Bacteria; Pseudomonadati; Pseudomonadota; Gammaproteobacteria; Enterobacterales; Enterobacteriaceae. The record is from RNAcentral.